RNAcentral lists this ribosomal RNA (919 nucleotides) under Salilagenidium callinectes. Its description in RNAcentral is "eukaryotic LSU rRNA". The stretch from base 270 to 424 matches the Rfam family "5.8S ribosomal RNA". The record is from RNAcentral. Lineage: Eukaryota; Oomycota; Peronosporomycetes; Pythiales; Lagenidiaceae.
GGAAGUAAAAGUCGUAACAAGGUUUCCGUAGGUGAACCUGCGGAAGGAUCAUUACCACACCAUAAAAAACUUUCCACGUGAACCUGUACUACAAGUUUUGCGCUCCAUUGUUUUUCCUUUUUGGAAAUUCAGUAGAGCAGAACGAAGGUUGGUUUAUGCAUUCUUUCCCUCGGGAAGGAACGAUGAACUGACCGAUGUACUUUUCAAACCCCUUACCUAAUUUACUGAUUAUACUCCAGGAACGAAAGUUUCUGGUUUUAAUAGACAACAACUUUCAGCAGUGGAUGUCUAGGCUCGCACAUCGAUGAAGAACGCUGCGAACUGCGAUACGUAAUGCGAAUUGCAGAAUUCAGUGAGUCAUCGAAAUUUUGAACGCAUAUUGCACUUCCGGGUUAUGCCUGGAAGUAUGCCUGUAUCAGUGUCCGAAAAUCAAAAUUGCCUUUCUUUUUUUGUGUAGUCAAGAGAAGAAAUGAGCAGAAUAUGAAGUGUCUCGAUAUAUAUUCUCAUUGAGGAUAAUAAUCGAGUCCUUUUAAAUGGACACUGUCUCUCUAUUUGUUAUUGUAACAUGUAGUAUAUGGACGCGAGUUGAUCUAUUGAUUACUUGCGCAUGUUGACUGCUUUAUCAAGAACAUUAUAGGGGAAACCACGAUUUGCGGUAUGUUUAGCUUCGGCUCGACACUGUUGCUUAUUGUGUGUGGACUCUGUUUUUGUGUGAGGCUAUUAGCGUGUGUAGGAUGAUUGUGGAUGUAUGCUUGUGGAAGUGUAUUGCUAUCAGUGACGAUCGAUAUGGAUUCUUUUGAAAAAGUAUUGAUUUAUGUAGAGUGUACAGUUUGAUUGGGAAAUUAAUAUGGUGCUUCGGUGCUGUAUCUCAAUUGGACCUGAUAUCAGGCAAGACUACCCGCUGAAUUUAAGCAUAUCA